This 728-nucleotide long non-coding RNA is filed under the name Physcomitrium patens. Its description in RNAcentral is "long non-coding RNA (PPAT_LNC008952)". The record is from RNAcentral. Lineage: Eukaryota; Viridiplantae; Streptophyta; Bryopsida; Funariales; Funariaceae.
AUAUCUUGAUGGAUUUAUUCAAGUCAGAUUCAUAGACGCAUUACUAUCAAGAGGUGCUUUUUUUUGAUUUUCACCUUUAAUGGAAAAGAUAUGCGACUCCUUUAUGAUUUGAAUUCAUUCUUAGAAGUAUUUAUGGCCAUUAUAGAAUAGAUAUUAGUUUGUUUGUAUAAGAUAUUAGUUAAAUAGACUAAUAGUCUAUAGAACAGUGAGUUGAAGAGGACGGAUGGUUAACUUAGUUAUUAAAAGCGAUUAAUUACAGGAUUAUGGUUAGAAUUUGGGAAUUGGAAGUAAGUAUAUAGGAAUUGUAGAAGUUAGGAUGAGUGCCAAACUGUGAUAGUUAUGACCUGGGAAAGCUUGGUGCUACCUCUUUUUCUCUUUGUUUCUUUAUUCUUGAAAAAUAAUGGAUAGUUUCUGAAUAUUGAGAAGUGAGUCUAUGGAAUAAAUCAGAGAUUGAUUUAUGAAUUAUUGAUUAUGUAAUUGGAGCACUGAGUGAUUGAAUUAUAUGAGGAAUUAUUGGAAGAUUAUGAUUGUUGUUUAUUGAGAGUUGUGUGUAUGUUUUGACAAAAAAAGUCUGUGAUUAUAGAAAUUAUAUGAAUUGAGAUUGGUUGGAGUGAAGUCUGUUAUUUCUGGUGUUAGAUGAAAUUAUUGUGUUUUGAGCGGUCUUUUGAGAGUACAAGGUUGCACAUUGUUGUUAUCAAUUGAUGAAGGAGUAUUGUUACUAGGAAAAA